This 465-nucleotide ribosomal RNA is filed under the name uncultured bacterium. RNAcentral's name for it is "bacterial SSU rRNA". It matches the Rfam family "Bacterial small subunit ribosomal RNA", at positions 338 to 795 of the family's 1533-position model. The record is from RNAcentral.
CCUACGGGCUGCAGCAGUGGGGAAUAUUGCACAAUGGGCGCAAGCCUGAUGCAGCCAUGCCGCGUGUGUGAAGAAGGCCUUCGGGUUGUAAAGCACUUUCAGCGGGGAGGAAGGCGAUAAGGUUAAUAACCUUGUCGAUUGACGUUACCCGCAGAAGAAGCGCCGGCUAACUCCGUGCCAGCAGCCGCGGUAAUACGGAGGGUGCAAGCGUUAAUCGGAAUUACUGGGCGUAAAGCGCACGCAGGCGGUCUGUCAAGUCGGAUGUGAAAUCCCCGGGCUCAACCUCGGAAUUGCAUUUGAAACUGGCAGGCUAGAGUCUUGUAGAGGGGGGUAGAAUUUCAGGUGUAGCGGUGAAAUGCGUAGAGAUCUGAAGGAAUACCAGUGGCGAAGGCGGCCCCCUGGACAAAGACUGACGCUCAGAUGCGAAAGCGUGGGGAGCAAACAGGAUUAGAUACCCCUGUAGUC